RNAcentral lists this long non-coding RNA (497 nucleotides) under Musa acuminata (dwarf banana). RNAcentral's name for it is "long non-coding RNA (MACU_LNC002661)". The record is from RNAcentral. Lineage: Eukaryota; Viridiplantae; Streptophyta; Magnoliopsida; Zingiberales; Musaceae.
CCAAAAUCCAUCAAUUUGUGUGAUCCUGUGAAAGGAUAGGAAGAGAGGAGAAAGGGUCUACUCUUCGCACUCCCUGCAGAUUCCGCAGCGCGAUCGGAUUAAAGACGGAGCCUACAACAAUCUUGGAUCACGGUGCUGAGCAGAUCAAACAAGAUCUCUGAACGGAUGGCAUCAAAAGGUACGCAUCGUAUAAUUAGAUCUAUGCAUUGAAUUUCAAAUCCUGGCAUAUAGGUUAAUUCCGCAUAAUUGAUUUAGCAUAAUUACAGAUUUUUUAUGCUUACAAUGGGUAUCAGAGCCCGAUUUUUGAAAUCAUGCAUUAGAUCUGUAAAUUAAUUUAUGAUGCAUAAUUACCUUUAUCUUCCAAGAACUGCUAAGCAGUAAUGGUCACCGUCGACCUCGCUGCAAAUUUGCGGUUACGCCGAGUAGCGUACGCAUUACAGAACUCGUCCCAUAUGCGGACAUUACAGAACUCGUCCCAUAUGCGGACAUUACAGAAC